AAGCGAGGAAACCCAAGCACAUCACAAUCAGAGACAACCUGUUCACAUCCAGAAACAAGUGUCAGGUCAUGUUAACGUUCGCCAUGGAAAUUAGUCCAUAUGCCAAACUCCUGCUCAAUGCCAUGAAGAACUCCGGCUGGUACGUUGGCCUACACGGCUGUCUAUAACCGGAAACGACAUGUUAACGUCAACUGUAACAUAGAUAGGAUGCAAAAUACAAAAGUUACUUCUACUGCUUUUUUUUUACUAAACAAUAUUUAAAUCAUCAGUGAACGUUCAGUCACAUUUGCUUCUACGAAUGUAAUUAUUGUAUAAUGCCGAUGUGUAUUUCCGAAAAGUCACUAAAUAUAGCAAUAAUGUUGCUAAGUUGGCAAUAGUGGGAUGACUAAUGUUAAACGCACGUGCAGACUGACCCAGAUAUUACUUCCACUAUAUUUCACAAAUACCAAAUUUUCCCCCAGAAAACUUGCUGAGCGCGGUGGUUGGGUGCUAAGGCAGUCAUUCAUUCAGUGGCCCGUCGUGGUUUUGAGUUAAAAAAAUGUUGACAAGAAAUUUUAAAAUAUCACUUGAUAAUUAUGUGCUAUUAAACGAUUGGAUGAUUAAUACCUGGACACCAACUACAAAAGUCUUUAAAAAAAUCAAACCUUUUUGAAAAAGACUUUAAAAAAUAAGUAAAGCCUGAUGGGCCACUAGGCUUAAAAUACUGGAAGGGAAAACCUGAAUAUGAUACAUUUUUGGUUAAUGUUUU
Poecilia latipinna (sailfin molly) is the source of this 748-nucleotide long non-coding RNA. RefSeq lists it as uncharacterized. NCBI's taxonomy places the organism in Eukaryota, Metazoa, Chordata, Actinopteri, Cyprinodontiformes, Poeciliidae. The transcript has 2 exons. The record is from RefSeq and is a predicted model, not a curated record.